This is a long non-coding RNA of Gallus gallus (chicken), 6053 nucleotides long. RefSeq lists it as uncharacterized. The transcript is spliced from 2 exons. Lineage: Eukaryota; Metazoa; Chordata; Aves; Galliformes; Phasianidae. The record is from RefSeq and is a predicted model, not a curated record.
AUCCAAGGAGAAGCUCAUUCAGAAAGCAAGAUGUAUUAUUUUACUUCCUGCACAGAUGACCAUCUCCUGAACUAAUGCUUGCAAUUUCAGUGCCACACCAAGGAUAUUCUUUGGUUUUAGGCAAGGACUAUUUGCUAUGAAUUAUGUUGUUAUUGUUUAUUUGUGCUACAGAUGAAAUAAUGUAUUUCCAUCAGAAUUUAAACAGGUGUGAAGAUGCAAGGAAGGUCACUGGUCCUUUGUUCCACUUCUCUGAGCUCUUGUUGGAUGGCUGCCAUUUCUCAUCCUGCUUUGAUGAUUUCCAGCUUCAUUUGAGGAGCUGCUCUCUGCAGAUCGUGUAAUGAGGAGGAUUUCCUCAUGCAUCCUUUUCUUUAAGUAUGGGGGUGGAUGUUUCCUCCGUUGAACAGUGACUGCGUUUAAUAGUUUUGUUUCUUUAAUUAUUAGUGGUGAACUUUCUCUCUGUUGCUCUUGUGUGAAGUGACAGUGCAUAGCAUCUGUCCUGCAGAAAGAAAAAAGACGAAUACUGGCAAUGUGUUCUGUAGGAAGUGGAUCUCAUGGACACUGGUCCAUCUCGCACCAGAUCCUGCUUGGCUCAUUUUGAGAUGCUUUCCUCAGUGCUUUACUAAUAUUACAGCUGGACUGAGCUUUGUAAAAUCUGCUGCUAAGAGUGGAAAGUCAAAAUGUUGCAUAGAAGGGAUGCUUUAAUUUCUCUGUGCCGUUUGAAAAGGAAGAAAGAUGGGGGAGGGGGGAAGAGGAAAUGCUCAGCUGGAGGCUGGAUGACUGCAGACCUGGUGCGGCUCCUCUGGCUUUCAGCUUGGUGGGGUUUCCUACUCUGAAAUGAUGCUUCUCUGAAAGGCAAAUCUUAGCAAUUAAACUGAAGUGCAAGCUCUCUUGAAUCUUUAUUUUGUGUGGGUAAAGGCUGUCUAAAAUAAGUUUCAGUAUUCUUUCAGUAGGAAACCAUGUUUUUGUAGUCCAGAAUGCAAAUUUAUUCCUCACCAUCAUAUUCUGAUGAAGAAGUGAUAGGACACAUUGAGCUACAUGCUAUGCAUAUUCCAAGGAGAACAACUAAAUCUAUAUGCAAAGAUGUUUCCAAUAUGCCUGUACUCAGUCUGAAAGGAAAUAGUAUUUUUUGAUCCUAUUUAUGGGCAGUGGUCAUCCAUCCUCCUGCAGGCAUGGUACUGGUAACAGGACCAACAAGCAGAGGUGAGCAGAUGUGCUGCAGGAGUGCACUUACUAUCCUUUAUACUCAUUCACUGCAGAGCUGUUACUGCAGAACACAUUACUGGCUCUGUAACAUACGGCUUGUAGGCAUGAUAUUGCCUGAAAAGGGUCUUCAACUUGGGCUCAAUGAGUCUGACAUGUUGAAAGGACAAAUGCCAACAUUUAGUUUCCUUCCCUUGUGUUGAUUUUCCACAAGUCUCUGAAAAAAACUGGGGUUUGGACAUGGUUGUAGUUCUGUUCCGACUGCUGUUUUCCAAAUUGCAUUGGUUAUGUUGGAUGUGGUGCUUCCCCAUGCUUUCAAGAAUAAGACUACGGAGUAAACUAUGUGAUUUUAGUUUUUACCCUUUUGCUUUGCCUUAAGUAAUAUUAGCAAAUACUACAGAGGUAAGUGUAAUUUCAGAAUCUGAAAGGUAUUUCAAUUUUCUGCUUUGCUGUUAUGUCCUUCCUUCCCCCACCCCCCUUUAUUUCCUCCUCUUUUUUUUUUGGUCUCACACACUUUAGAUAAAUAUCUUUUUUCCAGAUUUAGUUCUACAGCUAUUUAGAUUAAGUGUGUGUGUGUAUAAGUACAGACUUCUCUGGUAAAAAAGUGUAGAAGGGAGGUGCUGGAUUGUCAUAAAUCUGAAACCAUCAGUAAAUGGUUGUAGUUUUCAAUUCCUGAACCUCUUGUUGAAAGGUUCUUAUGCCUACAGCAGCUAUGGAAUGGUUUUAAGCCCGUUUUCCUUUUGAAGGCCAACACCAUCACUUCUCUCUUGUAGGACUUCUUCAUAUUUUACAUAUAGAACUUCUGCUAGUAUUCUGCCCCGUUCAGGUUUUUUCAACACAAACACAGAACUGGACUGGAACACACGUUACUGUUUCCCUUUUCCUUCUGUUUUUGCUCUUAGCUUUUGUUAUUGUUCACUUGUUUUAAAUCUUCUGAUGGAGAGAAAGAUUUCUGCAUGAUGUAGAAGAUCUCAGCCACCUGAAGAGGCCUUCCUAGGGGUCUGAAAUGAUAUCACAGUGAGGUAGCAAGUCCUCAGAGGUGAGAAUGACCUGCUUUCCUGUGCUUCUACAGCUCCACAAAGCAAGGUAGUGACCCUUCCUGGUCCUCCAGCAGGAUGGUCCCUUCCCCACACUUCAGACAGUGCUGAGACAGUGAGCAUCUUUCCUGUUCAUCCUGGACAAGAUCUUCUGACUUCUGCAGUGUGUUGUGGGUUGGGAGAAAGGGCAAGUAAGGAGUCAGAAGUUAGAGUGUCUGCAUCCAACCUGCCAUCACAUGGGGUUGGUCUCUUCUCACUGCUGACAGGUGACAGGAUGAGGGGAAAUGGCCUCAAGUUGCACCAGGGGAGGUUUAGGUUGUAUAUCAGGAAAAACUUCUUUACAGAAAGGGUUGUUAAGCACUGGAAUGGGCUGCCCAGGGAGGUGGUUAAGUCACCAUCCCUGGAUGUGUUUAACAACUGUUUGGGUGUGCUUAGGGCCAUGAUUCAGUGGAGGGUUGUUAGUUAGGGUAGUAUGGUUAGGUCAUGGUUGGACUUGUUGACCUUUAAGGUUUUUUCCUAUCUGAGCAAUUCUAUGGUGAGCAGGCAACAACGAGAUGUGCCAGCAGCCAGCAUGCACCAGGUGCCAGAGUGCUGAGGAAGGUAAGGGAGCUCUGCUGGGGGGAGGGCACCCAACUGGUGUGAGCCAUGGGGAGCUGGCAGCCGAAAACGUGCUGGUUCCUGAGUGAGGAGGAAGGAAUGAAGGAGGACAGUCAGACUUAUCUGGCUCAUUUACUACAAUGUGCUGUAGAGGCUGGAAAUCAGGGGUAGGCAUUAAGAUGAUAACAUCUCCUACUAAUCACAGUAAGUGAAGAUUUCCAAAGUGAGAAAAGAUGUCACAGCCAUUAAUAGGACUAUUCAGUAUUUCUUACAAAUAAUAAUGAAUAUUUUGGGUUUUUUCCUCUCUUGAUCCACUAGGUUGCCUUGAAUGAAUGAACAGUGAUUUAUUUUCUAGUCAGUCAAUGUUGUAAUUGUAGAUAUCAGAUGGGUAUUGGCAAAUGAGGACUGUAGUCUGUCAGCUUCACAAGAAAUGCGUUCUUUCCCACAGUUCUUAUUGCUCUGAUAAUCCAGCACUGAUUACCUGAUGAUCCGUGAUCCAAGCCUUCCUUAAAUAUGGAGCCCAUUUUGCUGCAGCUUUCUCAGCAUAAUUUUCCUACAGUAACUCCUAAUUUCUGUUCAGAAUACAGAUGCCAGCUUCCUCCUGUGCUGCUUUGACUACAACACCCUCUCUUUCUGCUGUCAUUUCUGUUUUUUUUGGUCAAACAUAAGAUCUCCACCAGUCUGUGUCCAGGUGAUGGUCACUGCCAUGCCCAAAGCAGACUCUUCCUGGCUCUGGGCGCUGCUCCAGCUGGAGACUGGGACUGCUGCAUGUCAGUAUGCAGAGCCCUUCCUCCUGCAGUGCCCCUGCAUUGCUUUCCCUGAAACUCAUUUCAAGGGCCUCAAGUUUUCUUAGGUCUCAUUCUCAUCUGAAAUAAGUUUCCAGGUUAUCCUGGAAGCCAUCACUCAGUCAAGUGCUGGUUUCCAUCUCAGGAAAGUGUGUUUAUCCUCAAAAGGCAUUUCACGUGGCUUUUAAUUCAGAACUCUUCCAACCUGCCUGUAAAUCUGAAGCCUGGCCUGUCUGUGCUGAUGGCUUCACUCAUCUUUGUGAUGACUUGUCAAUAUGCUUUCCAGGCCUGAUGUCAUGCUUUCCAGGCUGUAGGAAGGGAGGUGGCUGCUUGCACUGAGCCUGUGCCUUGGAGUCUAUGUGUCCUGGUGUGGUAGGAGGGGCAGCAGGGUAGACCAUGGGCAGAGGGCUUAGCAAUGCCAGCAGGCUGGUUGAGGGCUGGGUGAUGCCAGCAGCAGUGUGGAGCACUGGGAUAUGGCAGCAGUUCUACAAUGCUGAGGCAGUCCCUGCUCCCUUCAAGGGACUCUGGCAACGCUGCAGAGGAAGACAGAGUAUAAGCUUGUGUUCAUUCUCACAGAGCUCCAGUUUAACAGUUCUCCUCCAUGGGCUGUGUAGCACCUUUCAGUGUCUGGUCAGCUUACCUUGAGCAUCUCUGCUCUCUCUGUGUGCCUGUCAUUACCUGGACCCAUGUAUCUGUAAUCUUGUCAGCAGCAUUUACCAUGCCAGAAAAAGUCUGUCAACAGCAGAGAAGUAACAGUGGCUUUCUAAGCAUGCUGCAAAUUUUUGCUGUUAACCUUUCAGUUCUUGACAGAAUUUUGCCAGUUAAAUUCCAAGUCAGUGACAGGAACAUGGAAAUGUGGAUUUAGGAAGCUGACAGGAUGGAGAUGCACCACUCCUGCAGAGUGCUAAUGCCUAACUAUGGGGACAGGUGGUUAAAAACAACUGCAGGUGCAUGUAUUGUGUCCUCGUUAUCACAGGGUGCUCUGGUUAGUGCCAGGUGUCAAGCAAAUAAAUACUAUUUAUUCAUCUGAAAAAUGUGGCAGUCAUUUAUUAUUCAUCCUCUGUGCAACCAAAUCUUCCUUGUUUUGAAAUACCUACAUUUUUCUGAAUAUUAUUUUCCCUGGUUUUGGGCAUGUAGGACCAAGUUUUGUGUCAAUGUGCAUAUUCUAUAUGCAGAAAUACACGAAAUAAAUACAUUUGGACUUUUUCUUCCCAGUGCUGCCUCAUGCCUCCUCCAUCUAGGCUCCAUCCUGGCUGGGACUGGUUGGGACUGAGGAUCCUGCCUCAUCAUGGGGUUCCCAAUGGGUAAUGGUGCCUGGGGUGACCCCACCUCAAGUGCUGUGUCUGCCUGAGGGAGGUAUCACACAAUGCUGGCACUCCAGCUGGCUGCCUGAUCCCUUGACUUGGAGUCAUUUGCCAGCUGUGCCUGUGCCCCUUGUUCUGUCAGCUUCUUCUUGAUGCAGGUCAGCAGCCCUCUGCCACCUCAACCAGUGCCACCUCUGGCCAAGCACUGGUCUGACUCAGAGCCCUCAUCCACCACCUGCUGAGCCUGGAGGUCCUGACAGCGUCAUUCAUCCACCAUUUAUCUGCCCAUCCCACCCACAUCUCCCAGCUUGACUUCAAGGGUGUGACUGAUGAUUACUGGAGAAACCUCACUCACUAACAGCUCACCUACAGUCCUCAUUGUGUUAAGAAGACAUUCAAAGAGUAUAGGUUUAUUUUAAGAAUUGAGCUGCCGCCAUCUGUGGAGAAUAGGCAGAGAUUUUUAUUGAUUAUGGCAAAUGAGAAAAGCAAGACAAAUACACCAUGUAGGGUUUUUGUUAAUAUUAGGUAUAUUAUCAAAGCUCAUAAUGGGGUCUAAGGUGUCUAUACUUCUUUUGCUAUUAUGUGCAUUUGAUAUUGUCCUAUUUUAAGAAACACUUUCUCUGUUCCCCCACCUCUGCCACAUUCUGUGCUCUAAGAAGGAACCUCCUCUCUUCUGACUUACAGGAACACCAGCGGUGAUCUGCUCUUCCAGGAACCCUCUAGCUGAAGAAACCCAAUGGAGCGUUUGGAACAAUUUAAAUAUUUCACAAUCAGAUACUAAAUCUGCUGCUUUCCCCAAGAGAUGCUUGAGGAGAAUGCCCUGUCCUUGACUGGCUGGUGACACUGAGCUGGCUGCUUCAUUAAUCGCAGUGCCGCCGGGCAGGGUGUCGUAAAGCCACUGCUCAGCAUUUGUAAGUGGGGACUGCAUAUUUAUACUCAGCGUUGUGCUGUGCCAUUAAUUUACCAGAACACAAACUGAAGUGGUAGUUAUUAGCAGUGUCCAUUUAUUAUAGCCAUUUUAUUUUUCAUGUCCUUUAAACAUUAAUCGCUCUUUUUAAUAGGUUAGAGUUGGUUGAACAGAUGUGAAAUAAAUGAUAUAGGUCUGUGAUCAGUAAAUGCAUUUUAACUUA